UCUAAUUAUAAAAUCCAACAGCAAACAGCCAAUCAGAAUGCCGCGUUCGUGGGCGAACGCGGAAAGUACAAAAUACCGGGCCUUGCUUGCAGGCCCACUACCAGUUCCAUAGAGAUCAGUUCCCUUGGGCCUGCACGCGGGCUAAUAUCGUUCAUGCAUGCGUUACUUACCAGUCUUUCUUUUUCUCUUCUUUCUGCCGUGAGCUCCUCCAUCAAUGCUCGAUUCU
Non-coding RNA from Paramuricea clavata, 226 nucleotides. NCBI's taxonomy places the organism in Eukaryota, Metazoa, Cnidaria, Anthozoa, Malacalcyonacea, Plexauridae. The record is from the annotation of a GenBank genome assembly.